This 732-nucleotide ribosomal RNA is filed under the name uncultured bacterium. RNAcentral's name for it is "bacterial SSU rRNA". It matches the Rfam family "Bacterial small subunit ribosomal RNA", at positions 588 to 1321 of the family's 1533-position model. The record is from RNAcentral.
UNUGAAGUUAAAGGCUGUGGCUUANCCAUAGUACGCUUUGGAAACUGUUUAACUNGAGUGCAGAAGGGGAGAGUGGAAUNCCAUGUGUAGCGGUGAAAUGCGUAGAUAUAUGGAGGAACACCGGUGGCGAAAGCGGCUCUCUGGUCUGUAACUGACGCUGAGGCUCGAAAGCGUGGGGAGCGAACAGGAUUAGAUACCCUGGUAGUNCACGUCGUAAACGAUGAGUGCUAGGUGUUAGGCCCUUUCCGGGGCUUAGUGCCGCAGCUAACGCAUUAAGCACUCCGCCUGGGGAGUACGACCGCAAGGUUGAAACUCAAAGGAAUUGACGGGGGCCCGCACAGGCGGUGGAGCAUGUGGUUUAAUUCGAAGCAACGCGAAGAACCUUGCCAGGUCUUGACAUCCCGAUGCCCGCUCUAGAGAUAGAGUUUUACUUCGGUACAUCGGUGACAGGUGGUGCAUGGUUGUCGUCAGCUCGUGUCGUGAGAUGUUGGGUUAAGUCCCGCAACGAGCGCAACCCUUAUUGUUAGUUGCCAUCAUUCAGUUGGGCACUCUAGCGAGACUGCCGGUAAUAAACCGGAGGAAGGUGGGGAUGACGUCAAAUCAUCAUGCCCCUUAUGACCUGGGCUACACACGUGCUACAAUGGCUGGUACAACGAGUCGCAAGUCGGUGACGGCAAGCUAAUCUCUUAAAGCCAGUCUCAGUUCGGAUUGUAGGCUGCAACUCGCCUACAU